GUAUAUUUGAGUACAUAUUGUGCGUGUGUGUGUGUAUGUGUAUGGGCGAAGGACAAUAUUAGGAACUUCUGAUUUCUUAUUUUUCCCAACCUGUUUAAAAUCAUUAGAUUGCAAGUAUUGCAUCAUUGUUUCGCAUUGCUGCUUCAUCUUCAAGAAUAAAAAUUGCUUUGAUAAUGAGUGGUGAAAAAAUUCCAAUUAGACCUAUUUUAUCCAGUGAUAAAAAGAACUGAGUGCAAGGACAACAGCAAAAGAAAUUAAUGGUAUGGAAGACCCAGGAACUGUUAAUGAAUGCGAGGCACAAAACUGGUUCAGAAAUUUCAAGGAAGGUGACACCAACCUCAAUGACAAACCAUCUGUUUUGGAAGAUGAGGCCUUGCUCGGAACGGUUGAACAACAGCAAAGCACGUUUAUUGUGUGUGUGUGUGUGUGUGUGUGUGCGCGCGCGUGCAUGCAUGUGUGUGUGUGCAUGCACAUGUGUGUAUGCAUGCCUGCUUGCAAGCAUGUGUAUGUUCGUUCAUUUGUUCAAAGCUGCAUUUUGUUAUCUUCAAAUAUGGACUGCAGGAUAUCUAUUGACUUAUUGAUUAAUAUCAUUUUCUAAGAAAAUAUUUGUCACAAAAAUAAAUAUGAUUGUAUGAAAGCAGAUAACUUGUAUGAUUAUUUGGAAUUUCUAAAUUUUUAUUUAUAUGUAUAUAUCUCAAUGUACACACACACACACACACACACACACACACACACACACACACACACACACACACAUACAUGCACACACACACACACACACACACACACACACACACACACACACACACACACACACACACACAAAAACACAAACACACAUGUUAUUUUUGCAUAUACAAAUUUGUAGUUGUUAUGCAAACAUCCUGCUUUCAUAUGUUGUUUUUCUUAUUCUUCUGACCUAUUCAGUACAUUCUUGGAAAAUAUUAAA
Molecule: long non-coding RNA, 949 nt
Organism: Octopus sinensis (East Asian common octopus)
Lineage: Eukaryota; Metazoa; Mollusca; Cephalopoda; Octopoda; Octopodidae
Exons: 2
Source: RefSeq, a predicted model, not a curated record